Molecule: ribosomal RNA, 1509 nt
Filed under: Bacteroides fragilis
Lineage: Bacteria; Pseudomonadati; Bacteroidota; Bacteroidia; Bacteroidales; Bacteroidaceae
Also listed under: 1 other name
Description: bacterial SSU rRNA
Rfam family: Bacterial small subunit ribosomal RNA
Source: RNAcentral
AGAGUUUGAUCCUGGCUCAGGAUGAACGCUAGCUACAGGCUUAACACAUGCAAGUCGAGGGGCAUCAGGAAGAAAGCUUGCUUUCUUUGCUGGCGACCGGCGCACGGGUGAGUAACACGUAUCCAACCUGCCCUUUACUCGGGGAUAGCCUUUCGAAAGAAAGAUUAAUACCCGAUGGCAUAAUGAUUCCGCAUGGUUUCAUUAUUAAAGGAUUCCGGUAAAGGAUGGGGAUGCGUUCCAUUAGGUUGUUGGUGAGGUAACGGCUCACCAAGCCUUCGAUGGAUAGGGGUUCUGAGAGGAAGGUCCCCCACAUUGGAACUGAGACACGGUCCAAACUCCUACGGGAGGCAGCAGUGAGGAAUAUUGGUCAAUGGGCGCUAGCCUGAACCAGCCAAGUAGCGUGAAGGAUGAAGGCUCUAUGGGUCGUAAACUUCUUUUAUAUAAGAAUAAAGUGCAGUAUGUAUACUGUUUUGUAUGUAUUAUAUGAAUAAGGAUCGGCUAACUCCGUGCCAGCAGCCGCGGUAAUACGGAGGAUCCGAGCGUUAUCCGGAUUUAUUGGGUUUAAAGGGAGCGUAGGUGGACUGGUAAGUCAGUUGUGAAAGUUUGCGGCUCAACCGUAAAAUUGCAGUUGAUACUGUCAGUCUUGAGUACAGUAGAGGUGGGCGGAAUUCGUGGUGUAGCGGUGAAAUGCUUAGAUAUCACGAAGAACUCCGAUUGCGAAGGCAGCUCACUGGACUGCAACUGACACUGAUGCUCGAAAGUGUGGGUAUCAAACAGGAUUAGAUACCCUGGUAGUCCACACAGUAAACGAUGAAUACUCGCUGUUUGCGAUAUACAGUAAGCGGCCAAGCGAAAGCAUUAAGUAUUCCACCUGGGGAGUACGCCGGCAACGGUGAAACUCAAAGGAAUUGACGGGGGCCCGCACAAGCGGAGGAACAUGUGGUUUAAUUCGAUGAUACGCGAGGAACCUUACCCGGGCUUAAAUUGCAGUGGAAUGAUGUGGAAACAUGUCAGUGAGCAAUCACCGCUGUGAAGGUGCUGCAUGGUUGUCGUCAGCUCGUGCCGUGAGGUGUCGGCUUAAGUGCCAUAACGAGCGCAACCCUUAUCUUCAGUUACUAACAGGUCAUGCUGAGGACUCUGGAGAGACUGCCGUCGUAAGAUGUGAGGAAGGUGGGGAUGACGUCAAAUCAGCACGGCCCUUACGUCCGGGGCUACACACGUGUUACAAUGGGGGGUACAGAAGGCAGCUAGCGGGUGACCGUAUGCUAAUCCCAAAAUCCUCUCUCAGUUCGGAUCGAAGUCUGCAACCCGACUUCGUGAAGCUGGAUUCGCUAGUAAUCGCGCAUCAGCCACGGCGCGGUGAAUACGUUCCCGGGCCUUGUACACACCGCCCGUCAAGCCAUGGGAGCCGGGGGUACCUGAAGUACGUAACCGCAAGGAUCGUCCUAGGGUAAAACUGGUGACUGGGGCUAAGUCGUAACAAGGUAGCCGUACCGGAAGGUGCGGCUG